Molecule: unclassified non-coding RNA, 251 nt
Filed under: uncultured fungus
Lineage: Eukaryota; Fungi
Description: sequence contains 18S rRNA gene, ITS1, 5.8S rRNA gene, ITS2
Source: RNAcentral
UAUUAUAUAGUACUCAGACAUCACUGAUAAAAGAGUUUGGGUCCUCUGGCGGGCGCGAUCAGCCGGGGCCGACGCCUAAAAGGACGGCCCGCCAAAGCAACAAAGGUAAAUAAACACAGGGUAUAUGAUAUCUCCCUUUCCGAACAGAUGCGUGUUACGGCACUCGAACGGUCCGGUUACAUUAAUGAUCCUUCCGCAGGUUCACCUACGGAAACCUUGUUACGACUUUUACUUCCUCUAAAUGACCAAGA